UGUCCGGUGGCGUAGUGGGUAGCGUGUGUGCGUUUUACCCAUGAAGUCCUGGGUUCGAUCCCCAGCUGGGUCG
Molecule: transfer RNA, 73 nt
Filed under: Echinostoma caproni
Lineage: Eukaryota; Metazoa; Platyhelminthes; Trematoda; Plagiorchiida; Echinostomatidae
Rfam family: tRNA
About the family: Transfer RNA (tRNA) molecules are approximately 80 nucleotides in length. Their secondary structure includes four short double-helical elements and three loops (D, anti-codon, and T loops).
Source: Rfam by way of RNAcentral